AACGAACGCUGGCGGCAGGCUUAACACAUGCAAGUCGAACGAGAUCUUCGGAUCUAGUGGCGCACGGGUGAGUAACGCGUGGGAAUCUACCUUGGAGUCUGGGAUAACAGUUGGAAACGACUGCUAAUACCGGAUACGCCCUUAGGGGGAAAGGUUUACUGCUCCGAGAUGAGCCCGCGUCCAAUUAGGUAGUUGGUGAGGUAAAGGCUCACCAAGCCGACGAUUGGUAGCUGGUCUGAGAGGAUGACCAGCCACACUGGGACUGAGACACGGCCCAGACUCCUACGGGAGGCAGCAGUGGGGAAUAUUGGACAAUGGGGGCAACCCUGAUCCAGCCAUGCCGCGUGAGUGAUGAAGGCCUUAGGGUUGUAAAGCUCUUUCGCCGGUGACGAUGAUGACGGUAACCGGAGAAGAAGUCCCGGCUAACUUCGUGCCAGCAGCCGCGG
Molecule: ribosomal RNA, 446 nt
Filed under: uncultured bacterium
Lineage: Bacteria
Description: bacterial SSU rRNA
Rfam family: Bacterial small subunit ribosomal RNA
Source: RNAcentral